Molecule: ribosomal RNA, 692 nt
Filed under: Steinernema sp. ePBI8.3_TH
Lineage: Eukaryota; Metazoa; Nematoda; Chromadorea; Rhabditida; Steinernematidae
Also listed under: 1 other name
Description: partial large subunit ribosomal RNA
Rfam family: Eukaryotic large subunit ribosomal RNA
Source: RNAcentral
GAGGCGUUCAUGUGCGGUUUGUUGAUGGUGCGAAUUCUCUUUGACUAGGGAUCCAAAGAGGGUGCUAGACCCUUACGCAUUGUUGACUUUUCGUACGCGUUCGUUUCUUGGAGUAGGGUUGUUUUGGAUCGCAGCCCAAAGUAGGUGGUAUACUUCAUCUAAAGCUAAAUACGACUACGAAUCCGAUAGCAAACAAGUACCGUGAGGGAAAGUUGCAAAGUACUUUGAAGAGAGAGUUCAAGAGGACGUGAAACCGGUAGGGUGGAAGCAGAUAAAGUUGACGAACGUGUGUCGUAUUCAGAACUACAAUUUGUGGUUUGUUUUUACGAUCGAUGUGGGCUGGCGUCUUUGGUUAACUUAGUGUCUGGCGGCAAUGGUGACCCUGCGGAGGGAUAAUCGGUUGUCGUGCGAUGCUUGGUAUGGCUAGAGGUUCGCUGGUCUUAUAGUCAUCGCUUUAUCUGACCCGUCUUGAAACACGGACCAAGGAGUGUACGCUUACGCGAGUCUUAGAGUGUGUCAAAACUUUGAGGCGUAACGAAAGUAAAUGUGGAUUUAUUCACUGACUUGGGAUGCGUUGUCUUUUUUGGAUAGCGUUGGACCAUGGUUUUAUCGUAAUCGCUUGCGAUGCGGUGAAAAUAGAGCGUAAGCGGUGCGACCCGAAAGAUGGUGAACUAUGCCUGAGCAGGAUGAAG